Podarcis lilfordi (Lilford's wall lizard) is the source of this 2886-nucleotide non-coding RNA. NCBI's taxonomy places the organism in Eukaryota, Metazoa, Chordata, Lepidosauria, Squamata, Lacertidae. The record is from the annotation of a GenBank genome assembly.
AUCAAUAAAGGACAGCAGCGGGACACAGCGCUGGGAUAAGGGACUUUCCCGCCAAAUAAGGGACGGUUGACAGCUAUGACUAUGAUGCCACUUAAAGCAUUAUGAUGCCCCCCACAAAGAAUUCUGGGAGUUGUAGUUUGUUAAGGGUUGUUAGGAAACUCCUAUUCCCCUCACAAAGUUACCAUUUCCUAGAGUUGUUGAUCCUUGAAGCAAAAAUGGCAGCAACAAGAAAUACCGACGAAAUAAGAAUGGCAGACGAAGGUGAUGAUGGACUUUGCGGAACUGGCGAAGCUGACCGGAAAAAUCCGAAACCAACGUGAUCAAACUUUCCAAAAAGACUGGAGUAAAUUUAUACAAUAUUUAAAGGACCACUGUAUACAAUUAACAACACUAGCAGGGUUGUAAGGAGUCUUGUAAUGAUAAUUGUCAUUACCUUUUAAUAUUUAUUUAAAAGUUGUGAUAUUCUGAAUGAGUGAAACUGGAAAAUGUAUAAAUGCUAUGAUAUAAAAAUUAACUUUGAAAACCAUGAGGCGGGAGGGAAGGAAGUCGACAGGCUCUUAAGAGCAAAAGAAAUGGAUAAUGAGGAUGUGUUUAAAUAUUAUAAAAUGGAAACUUAAUAAAAAUAUUACACACACACACAAUUUCCUAGAGUUCCCUGUGAAGAAGUUUUGAUUGUUCGACCGCUCUGGAAAUUGUAGCUCUUGGAGGAGAAUACGGGGUCUCCUAGCAACUCUCAGGGUCCUAAACAAACUACAGCUCCCAUAACUCUUUGGGGGAAGCUAAAGUGGUAUUAUAGUGCUACAAUUGCAUGACGUGACUGUGCCUUAAUGUCAAGUGCAGCUCUGUCGUUAGACUGCGUUGGUAGACAAAACGAAGCGCUGAACUAAGAGAGGAGGAAUGAGAAAAGCAGGGACAGGCCCAAGGCUUCCUCCAACAUGUGGAGGUGAAAAAACAGGGUGCCGUCUUCCGAGGCUGCACUUCUGCACGGGUCACAUGACCCAUGUACGGUCGUGCCCCUGGAAAAAGUGGGGUUUUGGGGGGUGAGAUCGUGGCAUAAGAUCAAGGCAAGCAAAAUGGCCACCGUGCUCUUGUGUGAGAAAGCAGGUUGUGGUGGGGUUAACCAGACAUCCCCUGUUGCUGGGCAAGCUGGUUUGGUUGGCCCACUGUGUGAUUGGACUCCUUGGGUUUCUGGGGAGAGUGUGAUGUUGCUAUUAUUGAUUGACAGCCUGGGUUGAUAUAUAUAUAUAUAUUUCCCGCAUGAAGCGUAUAGCUCUUUUCGCUCUGUGCAUUGGAUUGCCUGCCCCCCCCCAUAUUUAGGGUUGUUCGCAUUGACCUUGCUAUGUCUGUCAUGGGGUCGUCUGCUCUUGGGGCAGGGGCCUGGUAGGAAUUUUGUCCAUCUGGCUGUUUGGCUGGUGCCAUUUGGUUUUUGCCUACUGCGUAAAUCUUCACAACUUGUAAGGUUGCGGUUAGGCAUUGGUUUAUAGAAAAAUUGGUUGGUGGAGGGUUAGGGAUUGGCUGUGACUACCCCUACUAUGUUGUUGCUGCAAGGGUAUUCAAUUAAAGGAAUCCAGGGGCUCACCAUGCUUUUGUCUGCACCCCUGUAAAAGGGGAUAGGGCCACACAAGAGCCCCUGGGAGCAUUUGGGGAGAGGUGAGGGUCUGGUACCCAGCUCCAUUUACUCCCCAUAAAAUGUUUUCCCUUACUGACUUCGCAGGAUUGCGGAUGUCAGUUCUGUCCCGGGGCGGGGACAGAUAGUCGCAACCAAUGCAGACGAUAUUAAAAAAUAAAUUUAAGGAACCGCAGAAAGAGAGGGAAGGAGGUCAGACUUUGAAAUGUUGAAAUGAUUGUCAAAUUAAUGAAAUGUAUAAAUUUGAAAAGUAUGUAUUAUUAUUUUUUUUUAAUUGCAUGCACUAUUAUCAAUUCCACUUCUUACAUGCCCUUUUCCCCCUAAACAAAAAGGCCCCAAAGAGAGUUCCUUGGGGCUGAGGGGCUGGGGAGAGUCACUCCACCUCCUUGUUUUGGUUGCCAUUUACUGAACCUUUUCUAUCUCUGCAAUAUCCUUCUGGAGUUGCUUCCUUGCAUAAAUGCACCUCAGUCCCCGUUCAGGACGCCAGCUGGCUUCCUCUUGCUCGAAGGACUGAUUGGCUUCCUGUUGCUUCUGCAUCCUACCCACUCUAUUCCGAGUUUUAAUAGAGAAACACACUUUAUUUAUUUGUUGGAACUUUUUUUUUUAACGAAAACCACUUUUCUGUCCUAACGAGGCCCUCCUAAGGUGGUUGACAAAAGAGUGAAAUCAACAAAAUGCCACCAAUGAACAAAAAUGAAAAUUUAAACCUUAAGAUCAAAAGGAGCAGAGUUUUAACAGCCACAUGGAAUAAGUGGACCUGGAAAAAUACACAGAAGCCAAAUAAAUUAGACCUAAUGGGGAAAAUACAGGAGCAUUUAAAUGUGAUUACAUUGAUAAAAAAAAUCAAGAAAUGAGGAAAAGUACAUAGAAGUGCUGAAUUAGGGGAGUUAUAUAACUAUAAGCAUAUUAACAGAGCACUGGAACUCUUUGUUGCUAUAAUUGAUUACAGUGCUUAAAUGGAUUUAAAUUUGAGUGGCUAGCUAGGGUGCAAGUGAGAAAAUGUAUGACAGAAGAUAAUUUCUAUUAUAGAGUCAGAUGCAUUUUUUUGUAGUAUAGGUUUGUUUUAGAUUGAUAAAGUGCAUGUUUAAUAAAAUUGCAUAUUUCAACAGAGCAAAACAGCCAAGCAGAAUACGAAUGGUUUCAUUGCCCACCAAACACCAUCAGAGAUGGGGCUAGUCUAACCUCCUUUGGAAGACAAUUCCACAACCAUGGUGCUUUAUAAGAAAAGCACCUGCCUCAUCUUCCCUCUUUUACCCUUU